UGAGUACGAGAUGCUACGGCAUCGAAGCAGUCUAUGUCAUACUUCCAAGAAAAGCUUGCACUGUCAUAAACAAAGAAUGCCUGUACCAUAACCGACACAGGUGGGUAGGUAGAGUAUACUAAGGGGCGCGAGAUAACUCUCUCUAAGGAACUCGGCAAAAUGACUCCGUAACUUCGGGAGAAGGAGUGCCUUAUUUCUAAGGUUGCAAUAACAAGAUCCAAGCAACUGUUUACCAAAAACACAGGUCUCCGCUAAGUCGUAAGACGAUGUAUGGGGGCUGACGCCUGCCCAGUGCCAGAAGGUUAAAGAAGUUGGUUAGCAUUAGCGAAGCUGAUAACUGAAGCCCUGGUGAACGGCGGCCGUAACUAUAACGGUCCUAAGGUAGCGAAAUUCCUUGUCGGGUAAGUUCCGACCCGCACGAAAGGCGUAAUGAUUUGGAUACUGUCUCGGAGAGGGGCUCGGUGAAAUAGACUUGUCUGUGAAGAUGCGGACUACCUGCACCUGGACAGAAAGACCCUAUGAAGCUUUACUGUAACUUGAGAUUGAAAUUGGACUUUAUUUGCGCAGUAUAGGUGGGAGGCGUUGAGAAUAAUCUUGCGGGAUUGUUGGAGCCAUCAGUGAGAUACCACUCUUGUAAUGUUAGAUUUCUAACUUUGUAUCAUUAUCUGGUCAAAGAACAGUUUCAGGCGGGCAGUUUGACUGGGGCGGUCGCCUCCCAAAGGGUAACGGAGGCGCACAAAGGUUUCCUCUGAACGGGUAGAAAUCGUAUCUAGAGUGUAAAGGCAUAAGGAAGCUUGACUGUGAGACCUACAAGUCGAGCAGGGACGAAAGUCGGUCUUAGUGAUCUGACGGUGCUGAGUGGAAAGGCCGUCACUCAACGGAUAAAAGUUACUCUAGGAUAACAGGCUGGUCUCCCCCGAGAGUUCACAUCGACGGGGAGGUUUGGCACCUCGAUGUCGGCUCAUCGCAUCCUGGGGCGGUAGUCCGUCCCAAGGGUUGGGCUGUUCGCCCAUGAAAGCGGUACGCGAGCUGGGUUCAGAACGUCGUGAGACAGUUCGGUCCAUAUCCGGUGUAGGCGUUAGAAUAUUGAGAGGAGCCUUCUCUAGUACGAGAGGACCGAGAAGGACAUACCUCUGGUGUACCAGUUAUCGUGCCAACGGUAAACGCUGGGUAGCUAUGUAUGGAGUGGAUAACCGCUGAAAGCAUCUAAGUGGGAAGCCCACCUCAAGAUAAGUAUUCU
This 1240-nucleotide ribosomal RNA is filed under the name metagenome. RNAcentral's name for it is "bacterial LSU rRNA". It matches the Rfam family "Bacterial large subunit ribosomal RNA", at positions 1564 to 2814 of the family's 2925-position model. The record is from RNAcentral.